RNAcentral lists this ribosomal RNA (408 nucleotides) under uncultured bacterium. RNAcentral describes it as "partial 16S ribosomal RNA". It matches the Rfam family "Bacterial small subunit ribosomal RNA", at positions 28 to 526 of the family's 1533-position model. The record is from RNAcentral.
GACGAACGCUGGCGGCGUGCUUAACACAUGCAAGUCGAACGAAGUGGCGAACGGGUGAGUAACGCGUAAUCAACCUGCCCUUCAGAGGGGGACAACAGUUGGAAACGACUGCUAAUACCGCAUACUGAAGGAGGGGUUUGUGUUUGAUUAGCUAGUUGGGGGGGUAACGGCCCACCAAGGCGAUGAUCAGUAGGCGGUCCGGGAGGAUGAACGGGCACAAUGGGAAUGGGACACGGGCCAGACUCCUAACGGAGGCAGCAGGGGGGAAACGUCCGAAAUGGGCGAAAGGCUGACGGAGCAACGCCGCGGGAGUGAUGACGGCCUUCGGGUUGUAAAGCUCUGUUAAUCGGGACGCGGUACCGGAAGAGAAAGCCACGGCUAACUACGUGCCAGCAGCCGCGGUAAUAC